RNAcentral lists this ribosomal RNA (253 nucleotides) under uncultured bacterium. RNAcentral's name for it is "partial 16S ribosomal RNA". It matches the Rfam family "Bacterial small subunit ribosomal RNA", at positions 524 to 776 of the family's 1533-position model. The record is from RNAcentral.
UACGAAGGGGGCUAGCGUUGCUCGGAAUCACUGGGCGUAAAGCGCACGUAGGCGGAUUGCUAAGUCAGGGGUGAAAUCCUGGAGCUCAACUCCAGAACUGCCUUUGAUACAGCACAUCUUGAGUCCGGAAGAGGUGAGUGGAACUCCUAGUGUAGAGGUGGAAUUCGUAGAUAUUAGGAAGAACACCAGUGGCGAAGGCGGCUCACUGGUCCGGUACUGACGCUGAGGUGCGAAAGCGUGGGGAGCAAACAGG